CUUUGGAGGCUUGGUGAGAGAUUUGGUCGCGUAAGACUUGGACUAUCUCGACGAAGAGUUGAGUUCUUAAAUUGAUAAGUUGCAUUGGAUCAGCAACCUCGAAGAUCUGAUUUCAACAAUAACGAUGCGUAAGCUCGAGAUUCGUAGUUUCCAUUUUGCAGGACGUUCGUUAAGGACUGGAUGAUUUCCCCAUUAUUGCCUAUAAGAGUCUUAAGCCCGGAUAUAGAUAAUUGAAGACCGUAGAGAAUGCUUAAGGCCUCAUCACUUGGUCUUGUGACCUCAAUCGCAUCACCAUCCGAAGUUGAUUCUUCGAAUGAUAAAGAGUUAAAGCUAUUCACGAUUGAAGCCAAGAACUC
Molecule: unclassified non-coding RNA, 356 nt
Filed under: Hevea brasiliensis (rubber tree)
Lineage: Eukaryota; Viridiplantae; Streptophyta; Magnoliopsida; Malpighiales; Euphorbiaceae
Source: RNAcentral